GGAGAGGUGGCUGAGUGGUCUAAAGCACCGGUUUCGAAAACCGGCAUGGGGCAACCCAUCGAGAGUUCGAAUCUCUCCCUCUCCG
RNAcentral lists this transfer RNA (85 nucleotides) under Candidatus Kaiserbacteria bacterium RIFCSPHIGHO2_02_FULL_55_20. RNAcentral describes it as "tRNA-Ser". It matches the Rfam family "tRNA". Rfam says of the family: Transfer RNA (tRNA) molecules are approximately 80 nucleotides in length. Their secondary structure includes four short double-helical elements and three loops (D, anti-codon, and T loops). The record is from RNAcentral. RNAcentral also lists the same sequence under 3 other names. Lineage: Bacteria; Candidatus Kaiseribacteriota.